This 498-nucleotide ribosomal RNA is filed under the name uncultured bacterium. RNAcentral describes it as "partial 16S ribosomal RNA". It matches the Rfam family "Bacterial small subunit ribosomal RNA", at positions 29 to 523 of the family's 1533-position model. The record is from RNAcentral.
AUUGAACGCUGGCGGCAUGCCUUACACAUGCAAGUCGAACGGUAACGCGGGGCAACCUGGCGACGAGUGGCGAACGGGUGAGUAAUGCAUCGGAACGUGCCCAGUAGUGGGGGAUAGCCCGGCGAAAGCCGGAUUAAUACCGCAUACGACCUACGGGUGAAAGCGGGGGACCGCAAGGCCUCGCGCUAUUGGAGCGGCCGAUGUCAGAUUAGGUUGUUGGUGGGGUAAAGGCCUACCAAGCCGACGAUCUGUAGCUGGUCUGAGAGGACGACCAGCCACACUGGGACUGAGACACGGCCCAGACUCCUACGGGAGGCAGCAGUGGGGAAUUUUGGACAAUGGGCGCAAGCCUGAUCCAGCCAUGCCGCGUGCGGGAAGAAGGCCUUCGGGUUGUAAACCGCUUUUGUCAGGGAAGAAACGCUCUGGGCUAAUACCCCGGGGUAAUGACGGUACCUGAAGAAUAAGCACCGGCUAACUACGUGCCAGCCGCCGCCGUAA